Molecule: long non-coding RNA, 628 nt
Organism: Microcebus murinus (gray mouse lemur)
Lineage: Eukaryota; Metazoa; Chordata; Mammalia; Primates; Cheirogaleidae
Source: RefSeq, a predicted model, not a curated record
UGUAAAUGGCAAUCGUGUCAAAAUCAAGGUUAAACCCAGGAUAAAUCCAGACCUCUUUCAGGAGAUUGUGAGGAAACAGCCCUCCACACUGGGGUGGAAAGCACCGAGAGCAGAGAGCCUUUCUACUUCUGCGAAUUGUACAGCACCCAGCACAGUCUAAGUCAGUAUUUCGGAAAGGUUCAAAUAGCCUUAUUCGCCUGCCUGUGGAAUGAUCACCGUUGGGCAGGAUGCGUCUGCUUCUGGAGCGAGAGGGAAGGACACUUAAUGGAUAGUGCCCCUACCAUGUUCCACGGACCAGAGGCAUGGGCUGCCAAUGUUUACCAAGGUAUUGCCACUACCUAGUACAUUGCUUGGGACAUAGCAAACACCUGAUGAUAACUGUUGAAUGACUGAAGUUAAGCAAUAAAGGAACAGGAAUUUUUAAAAAGGGCAUAUGAAGAGGAUAAUCUCUAAUCACAGCACAGUUGUCCAUAAUUCCUGGAAAAUGGGCAGGUGUCACCAGUGUCCCAGAGAAACAACUAUGACUGCUGUCUUAAUAUUGGUCCCAAACUAUAGAAUACAUGCUUCUGCUUUUCUUUCACCAUCAAGAAAUCAAUGAUAUUGCUCAAUUCUGGUGGAGUUAUUUCAU